GCUUAACCGGAGAAGUGCAUCGGAAACUGGGAGACUUGAGUGCAGAAGAGGACAGUGGAACUCCAUGUGUAGCGGUGGAAUGCGUAGAUAUAUGGAAGAACACCAGUGGCGAAGGCGGCUGUCUAGUCUGUAACUGACGCUGAGGCUCGAAAGCAUGGGUAGCAAACAGGAUUAGAUACCCUGGUAGUCCAUGCCGUAAACGAUGAGUGCUAGGUGUUGGAGGGUUUCCGCCCUUCAGUGCCGCAGCUAACGCAUUAAGCACUCCGCCUGGGGAGUACGACCGCAAGGUUGAAACUCAAAGGAAUUGACGGGGGCCCGCGCAAGCGGUGGAGCAUGUGGUUUAAUUCGAAGCUACGCGAAGAACCUUACCAGGUCUUGACAUCUUCUGCCAAUCUUAGAGAUAAGACGUUCCCUUCGGGGACGGAAUGACAGGUGGUGCAUGGUUGUCGUCAGCUCGUGUCGUGAGAUGUUGGGUUAAGUCCCGCAACGAGCGCAACCCUUAUUAUCAGUUGCCAGCAUUAAGUUGGGCACUCUGGUGAGACUGCCGGUGACAAACCGGAGGAAGGUGGGGAUGACGUCAAAUCAUCAUGCCCCUUAUGACCUGGGCUACACACGUGCUACAAUGGACGGUACAACG
This 637-nucleotide ribosomal RNA is filed under the name uncultured bacterium. RNAcentral describes it as "bacterial SSU rRNA". It matches the Rfam family "Bacterial small subunit ribosomal RNA", at positions 607 to 1244 of the family's 1533-position model. The record is from RNAcentral.